This 2914-nucleotide ribosomal RNA is filed under the name Escherichia coli. RNAcentral's name for it is "bacterial LSU rRNA". It matches the Rfam family "Bacterial large subunit ribosomal RNA". Lineage: Bacteria; Pseudomonadati; Pseudomonadota; Gammaproteobacteria; Enterobacterales; Enterobacteriaceae. The record is from RNAcentral.
GGGUUGUGAGGUUAAGCGACUAAGCGUACACGGUGGAUGCCCGGCAGUCAGAGGCGAUGAAGGACGUGCUAAUCUGCGAUAAGCGUCGGUAAGGUGAUAUGAACCGUUAUAACCGGCGAUUUCCGAAUGGGGAAACCCAGUGUGUUUCGACACACUAUCAUUAACUGAAUCCAUAGGUUAAUGAGGCGAACCGGGAACUGAAACAUCUAAGUACCCCGAGGAAAAGAAAUCAACCGAGAUUCCCCAGUAGCGGCGAGCGAACGGGGAGCAGCCCAGAGCCUGAAUCAGUGUGUGUGUUAGUGGAAGCGUCUGGAAAGGCGCGCGAUACAGGGUGACAGCCCCGUACACAAAAAUGCACAUAUUGUGAGCUCGAUGAGUAGGGCGGGACACGUGGUAUCCUGUCUGAAUAUGGGGACCAUCCUCCAAGGCUAAAUACUCCUGACUGACCGAUAGUGAACCAGUACCGUGAGGGAAAGGCGAAAAGAACCCCGGCGAGGGGAGUGAAAAGAACCUGAAACCGUGUACGUACAAGCAGUGGGAGCACGCUUAGGCGUGUGACUGCGUACCUUUGUAUAAUGGGUCAGCGACUUAUAUUCUGUAGCAAGGUUAACCGAAUAGGGGAGCCGAAGGGAAACCGAGUCUUAACUGGGCGUUAAGUUGCAGGGUAUAGACCCGAAACCCGGUGAUCUAGCCAUGGGCAGGUUGAAGGUUGGGUAACACUAACUGGAGGACCGAACCGACUAAUGUUGAAAAAUUAGCGGAUGACUUGUGGCUGGGGUGAAAGGCCAAUCAAACCGGGAGAUAGCUGGUUCUCCCCGAAAGCUAUUUAGGUAGCGCCUCGUGAAUUCAUCUCCGGGGUAGAGCACUGUUUCGGCAAGGGGUCAUCCCGACUUACCAACCCGAUGCAAACUGCGAAUACCGGAGAAUGUUAUCACGGGAGACACACGGCGGGUGCUAACGUCCGUCGUGAAGAGGGAAACAACCCAGACCGCCAGCUAAGGUCCCAAAGUCAUGGUUAAGUGGGAAACGAUGUGGGAAGGCCCAGACAGCCGGAUGUUGGCUUAGAAGCAGCCAUCAUUUAAAGAAAGCGUAAUAGCUCACUGGUCGAGUCGGCCUGCGCGGAAGAUGUAACGGGGCUAAACCAUGCACCGAAGCUGCGGCAGCGACGCUGAUGCGUUGUUGGGUAGGGGAGCGUUCUGUAAGCCUGUGAAGGUGCGCUGUGAGGCAUGCUGGAGGUAUCAGAAGUGCGAAUGCUGACAUAAGUAACGAUAAAGCGGGUGAAAAGCCCGCUCGCCGGAAGACCAAGGGUUCCUGUCCAACGUUAAUCGGGGCAGGGUGAGUCGACCCUAAGGCGAGGCCGAAAGGCGUAGUCGAUGGGAAACAGGUUAAUAUUCCUGUACUUGGUGUUACUGCGAAGGGGGACGGAGAAGGCUAUGUUGGCCGGGCGACGGUUGUCCCGGUUUAAGCGUGUAGGCUGGUUUUCCGGCAAAUCCGGAAAAUCAAGGCUGAGGCGUGAUGACGAGGUACUACGGUGCUGAAGCAACAAAUGCCCUGCUUCCAGGAAAAGCCUCUAAGCAUCAGGUAACAUCAAAUCGUACCCCAAACCGACACAGGUGGUCAGGUAGAGAAUACCAAGGCGCUUGAGAGAACUCGGGUGAAGGAACUAGGCAAAAUGGUGCCGUAACUUCGGGAGAAGGCACGCUGAUAUGUAGGUGAAGUCCCUCGCGGAUGGAGCUGAAAUCAGUCGAAGAUACCAGCUGGCUGCAACUGUUUAUUAAAACACAGCACUGUGCAAACACGAAAGUGGACGUAUACGGUGUGACGCCUGCCCGGUGCCGGAAGGUUAAUUGAUGGGGUCAGCGCAAGCGAAGCUCUUGAUCGAAGCCCCGGUAAACGGCGGCCGUAACUAUAACGGUCCUAAGGUAGCGAAAUUCCUUGUCGGGUAAGUUCCGACCUGCACGAAUGGCGUAAUGAUGGCCAGGCUGUCUCCACCCGAGACUCAGUGAAAUUGAACUCGCUGUGAAGAUGCAGUGUACCCGCGGCAAGACGGAAAGACCCCGUGAACCUUUACUAUAGCUUGACACUGAACAUUGAGCCUUGAUGUGUAGGAUAGGUGGGAGGCUUUGAAGUGUGGACGCCAGUCUGCAUGGAGCCGACCUUGAAAUACCACCCUUUAAUGUUUGAUGUUCUAACGUUGACCCGUAAUCCGGGUUGCGGACAGUGUCUGGUGGGUAGUUUGACUGGGGCGGUCUCCUCCUAAAGAGUAACGGAGGAGCACGAAGGUUGGCUAAUCCUGGUCGGACAUCAGGAGGUUAGUGCAAUGGCAUAAGCCAGCUUGACUGCGAGCGUGACGGCGCGAGCAGGUGCGAAAGCAGGUCAUAGUGAUCCGGUGGUUCUGAAUGGAAGGGCCAUCGCUCAACGGAUAAAAGGUACUCCGGGGAUAACAGGCUGAUACCGCCCAAGAGUUCAUAUCGACGGCGGUGUUUGGCACCUCGAUGUCGGCUCAUCACAUCCGGGGCUGAAGUAGGUCCCAAGGGUAUGGCUGUUCGCCAUUUAAAGUGGUACGCGAGCUGGGUUUAGAACGUCGUGAGACAGUUCGGUCCCUAUCUGCCGUGGGCGCUGGAGAACUGAGGGGGGCUGCUCCUAGUACGAGAGGACCGGAGUGGACGCAUCACUGGUGUUCGGGUUGUCAUGCCAAUGGCACUGCCCGGUAGCUAAAUGCGGAAGAGAUAAGUGCUGAAAGCAUCUAAGCACGAAACUUGCCCCGAGAUGAGUUCUCCCUGACUCCUUGAGAGUCCUGAAGGAACGUUGAAGACGACGACGUUGAUAGGCCGGGUGUGUAAGCGCAGCGAUGCGUUGAGCUAACCGGUACUAAUGAACCGUGAGGCUUAACCUUACAACGCCGAAGGUGUUU